GGCAAUUGAAGAAUAGGCCCACAAGAUGCAACUCUGACUCAAAAAGGCCCAGAACAACAAACCAGGUUUUUACUUAGAAAGCAGGAACCGGAUCCACUGGGAACCAAGGCCCAUGCCCACCAAACCCUUAAGCCUUUCAUCACCUGUGGGCUGUGGCCGUGGGUACCUCCACGACCACAAAUACACCCACCAGGUCUGAUGACUUCCGGG
RNAcentral lists this unclassified non-coding RNA (210 nucleotides) under Hevea brasiliensis (rubber tree). The record is from RNAcentral. Lineage: Eukaryota; Viridiplantae; Streptophyta; Magnoliopsida; Malpighiales; Euphorbiaceae.